GUUUGAACGUUGCGGAAGUAAGUCCAAUUAGCACGGAACAUAACACAGGACUACAGCUGUAAUUAUUUGCAUUAAACUAAAGUAACGAUUUGCUGUUAGAUCGAAUGUUUUUAUUUGCGAUAUGGCAGAGAAAGUCAAGUAAAAUAACUAUAUGGAUGAAAUUAUAUGUUGACUUCAGGAUACGAGAACAUACCGAUGUGAGUGAUGACAAAAGAUAAAGAAUGCGAACUUCUCACCUUCAACUUUGAACCAAAAUUUCUACCGCCUUCACCUUCCGACGAAAGGACAGAUGUUUCACUACUUCCGGUGUCAUCAACAGAUGGUUGUACGAGUUAUAAUGGAGAUGUGUUAAGUGUUCCUACGGGAAAAAAUGACAAACGGAAGCUUUCUGAGUCUAGGAACGGACCACCAAAUUAUCUAGGUCUAGCUCUGUUUGUUACGUUGUGUAAUUGUCCUUUUGGGUCUCUUGCCAUCUUGUUCGCUAUAUUGUCCAGACGUCAGUAUGCUUCUGGCGAGAUCGUAGACGCAAAGCAAAAAGGAACGAUUUCUAAAUGGCUUUCAAUUUUAGGAGUUACUGCAACUCUUUUGUUAAUAGCAUUCUUACUAGUGUACAAGUUUGUUAUUUUGCCAAAUGUUGUUGUUGAUCUGAAAGCACUGCAAGACCAACUUAAAAAUUAAAAGUCUUUUUUUCUGAGUAAGAAAUACAGGGAAACAUUCAUUUUACUCUGCAAAGCAGAAACAAAACUACUGUGUCAUAUUGAAAAAAUACAUUUGAAACUAUAGUUAUGUUUUCAUGAUUUUAUUGAAUCUUCCAGUUUUGCCUUCACUACGUUAUGGAAAAUAGAAUGUACUAAGUGAUAAAUUAUAUGAAGAUUCUCCGUCAUGAUUUCAUGAUCUUUAACAUUAGUAGGAGAAUUUGAACAUUUUGUAAGACAUUAACAGUGUGACAGUAUUAAACAGAGCAAACAUAUAUCAAAUCCAGCCAUAUUUUAGUAUAACGUUUACCAUUUGUAUGAAGACUAGAUACUCAAGAAUUGCAGAGACAACGAAGUGUCUAUUGACGUCCAUGCUAACUAAAGUAUUUUUCUGUUCCCCUAUAUUGUUUGUAGUGUUUUGAUUUGUGAGUGCUAUUACGAGAGCUCCGUACUGUCAGGUAUUCUUAGGCAUUCGAAGAAUUAAAAAACACUCCGUUAGAUGUAAGCCUACCAUGUACUACUGUCAAAACUUCGAACACAUAAUGUUUAAGUACUUCCUGUAUGAUAGUACAUCUCUGAAAUUUCAGCUAGCUAUAAACAAAAUUAUUUUCAAUUUUACAAUAGUAAGGAGGUGAUUAAGAAUUUUAUAUUUUACUAUUCUCAAAAGAAUAGGUUAUUAUCAUAACUAUCAUGACAAUGAUGGAUGCAUACUGUUAUAAUAUUGUUGUUAUUUGAAAUACAAUAUUUUGGACUAUUUUCUCUUUUCUUAAGGAAAAAAUCUAAUGAAUUUAAGUAUUUGUCUACGUUUCAAGUUCUUUUCAUAAAAAGAAUUUAAAGGGGCAUUAGCUACGAUUUAGACAAAAAAAUUAAAUUUGGAAUCUUUUUGUUUUAAGUAUUAAUAAAAGCGGAAUUUUGAAUUAAAAUUUCGUUAUAACCAGUUUGUUUUGCCCAAAUUUGUCGAAAUAAGCUAAAAAAUAUCGCUGAUGUAUUAUUGACUUGCAAGUGAAUAAUUCGACCUAAUGUGAAUCCAUAUACAUGUCAACUUCAAUUUAACCCCUUAGCUGGAGAUGGGUUACGCAUGAACUAGGCGUGUUCAGCGAUUAAAAGGAGAAGAAUGUCAACAUAGAAAGUGAAACAAGAGUGAACCAUUUUGUUGACUGAUUCGAUCCACAAAAAAAACCCAUUCUUAUUCAGUUAAAAACGAUGAUUAACUUAUUUUUUAACAUAUAACAUGAAAUCAAACAGACCUAGAAAAAUCCAAUUACACGUGGUCUCUAUCUAUUUAUAUUUAUAUUUAUGUUUAUAUGACUGUCAAAAGUCUUCGGAGGUCAUCUCGAUAGUUAAUCAGAUGGCGUUUAGAUAAAUUACACACGAAAUGCUGAUAUGUAUUAUCGAAUCCAUGCAUUGCUAAUUGUUUAUUUUAGACUUAUUGUAAUUUGGAUAUACGUUUUAGUAUGUUAUAAAUUAGAUAUGAGAAUUUGAGUCAAUCGGUGAACAUGAAUUUGACAGCUAAUGCCCUUUUAAAAGAAUGGAAAAUCAUUUGAUAUAUCCUCUUCUUAAAUUUCUCCUUGGUUGUAACUGAUGCUACAAAGUUUAUCAGGUUUGAACAAUUAUACCCAUCAGUAUUUAUGAGAAUGCCAGUAUGUAGUUAUCCAAAUACUGCUGAAUAUGAAGAACAUGUUUAUUUUGUUAGUAUCAGAAUCAAACGUAUAAAUUACUGCUCUUUAUGUUAUUUUCAUACUGUGUAUUGAAAGGUUUGAAACGUUUAACUUUUACUGAUGUAAUUGUCUUUUUUGUAUAUGUAUUGUUUAAACAUCAAAUUAAAAGAAGACCUUAAAUAUGCCCAUGA
Mytilus californianus (California mussel) is the source of this 2544-nucleotide long non-coding RNA. RefSeq lists it as uncharacterized. The transcript has 2 exons. Lineage: Eukaryota; Metazoa; Mollusca; Bivalvia; Mytilida; Mytilidae. The record is from RefSeq and is a predicted model, not a curated record.